GACGAACGCUGGCGGCGUGCUUAACACAUGCAAGUCGAACGAAGAGCGAUGGAAGCUUGCUUCUAUCAAUCUUAGUGGCGAACGGGUGAGUAACGCGUAAUCAACCUGCCCUUCAGAGGGGGACAACAGUUGGAAACGACUGCUAAUACCGCAUACGAUCUGACCUCGGCAUCGAGGAUAGAUGAAAGGUGGCCUCUAUUUAUAAGCUAUCACUGAAGGAGGGGAUUGCGUCUGAUUAGCUAGUUGGAGGGGUAACGGCCCACCAAGGCGAUGAUCAGUAGCCGAUCUGAGAGGAUGAACGGCCACAUUGGGACUGAGACACGGCCCAGACUCCUACGGGAGGCAGCAGUGGGGAAUCUUCCGCAAUGGACGAAAGUCUGACGGAGCAACGCCGCGUGAGUGAUGACCGGGCCUUCGGGUUGUAAAGCUCUGUUAAUCGGGACGAAAGGCCUUCUUGCGAAUAGUUAGAAGGAUUGACGUACCG
Molecule: ribosomal RNA, 484 nt
Filed under: Veillonella dispar
Lineage: Bacteria; Bacillati; Bacillota; Negativicutes; Veillonellales; Veillonellaceae
Description: bacterial SSU rRNA
Rfam family: Bacterial small subunit ribosomal RNA
Source: RNAcentral